ACUCAAAGGAAUAGACGGGGGCCCGCACAAGCGGUGGAGCAUGUGGUUUAAUUCGACGCAACGCGAAGAACCUUACCUGGGCUCGAACGGCUUCUUAACUGCUGUGGAAACACAGUUAUCCCGCAAGGGAGUGGAGUCGAGGUGCUGCAUGGCUGUCGUCAGCUCGUGUCGUGAGAUGUUGGGUUAAGUCCCGCAACGAGCGCAACCCUUGUCCUGUGUUGCGAACCUCCGCAAGGAGGAGCACUCUCAGGAGACCGCCAGCGAUAAGUUGGAGGAAGGUGGGGAUGACGUCAAGUCAUCAUGGCCUUUAUGUCCAGGGCUACACACGUGCUACAAUGGGCGGUACAAACCGACGCCAACCCGCGAGGGGGAGCAAAUCGGAAAAAACCGUUCUCAGUUCGGAUCGCAGGCUGCAACUCGCCUGCGUGAAGCUGGAAUCGCUAGUAAUGGUAUAUCAGAACGAUACCGUGAAUACGUUCCCGGGCCUUGCACACACCGCCCGU
Molecule: ribosomal RNA, 503 nt
Filed under: uncultured bacterium
Lineage: Bacteria
Description: partial 16S ribosomal RNA
Rfam family: Bacterial small subunit ribosomal RNA
Source: RNAcentral